GAGACACUGGGGUAAAGGUGCAGGUGGUUGUUAAAGAACAACUUACAUUGAGCAUGACCAACAUGAGAACCACAUGGAUGUUUACUCACUCAUCAGUGAUCUUCUCGAUACUGCAGUGGUGUGAGUAGUCCUUUGACCUGCGGUAUCAUUGGCUAUUCAUAGCGAGGCUACUGGCAUUUGAUUGCAUGUUCUCUUGGUCCCUAGCCAUUCAGAUCCUUGCUAUAUAUGUUAGCUUCAGUAGGUUCAGAUUUAUUGUUUGGAGUAGG
Molecule: long non-coding RNA, 266 nt
Filed under: Elaeis guineensis (African oil palm)
Lineage: Eukaryota; Viridiplantae; Streptophyta; Magnoliopsida; Arecales; Arecaceae
Description: long non-coding RNA (EGUI_LNC048970)
Source: RNAcentral